AGCCUCCAGAUUCCUUACCCCUCAGAUCUAAGUAUUGGUCUGAGCGGCUUAAACGGAGGAAAAGAAAGUGAAAUGUAUUUGGAGUCUUCAGGGACAUAUAAGUCCAUUUCUAACACAU
Molecule: small nucleolar RNA, 118 nt
Filed under: Echinops telfairi (small Madagascar hedgehog)
Lineage: Eukaryota; Metazoa; Chordata; Mammalia; Afrosoricida; Tenrecidae
Description: Small nucleolar RNA SNORA61 (ENSETEG00000024926.1)
Source: RNAcentral